UACGAGGGAUCCUAGCGUUGUUCGGAAUCAUUGGGCGUAAAGGGUGUGUAGGCGGCCCUGUAAGUCAGUUGUGAAAGCCCCGGGCUCAACCCGGGAAGUGCUUCUGAUACUGCAGGGCUUGAAUGUUGGAGAGGUGAGUGGAAUUCCAGGUGUAGUGGUGAAAUACGUAGAUAUCUGGAGGAACACCGGUGGCGAAGGCGGCUCACUGGCCAUACAUUGACGCUGAGACACGAAAGCGUGGGUAGCAAACAGG
RNAcentral lists this ribosomal RNA (253 nucleotides) under uncultured Bdellovibrio sp. RNAcentral's name for it is "partial 16S ribosomal RNA". It matches the Rfam family "Bacterial small subunit ribosomal RNA", at positions 524 to 776 of the family's 1533-position model. Lineage: Bacteria; Pseudomonadati; Bdellovibrionota; Bdellovibrionia; Bdellovibrionales; Pseudobdellovibrionaceae. The record is from RNAcentral.